RNAcentral lists this ribosomal RNA (469 nucleotides) under uncultured bacterium. RNAcentral's name for it is "bacterial SSU rRNA". It matches the Rfam family "Bacterial small subunit ribosomal RNA", at positions 328 to 794 of the family's 1533-position model. The record is from RNAcentral.
GUGCCAGACUCCUACGGGAGGCAGCAGUGAGGAAUAUUGGUCAAUGGUCGGGAGACUGAACCAGCCAAGCCGCGUGAGGGAGGAAGGUACAGAGUAUCGUAAACCUCUUUUGCCGGGGAGCAAGGGCCGGGACGAGUCCCGGUCCGGAGAGUACCCGGAGAAAAAGCAUCGGCUAACUCCGUGCCAGCAGCCGCGGUAAUACGGAGGAUGCGAGCGUUAUCCGGAUUUAUUGGGUUUAAAGGGUGCGUAGGCGGGCUUUUAAGUCAGCGGUAAAAAUUCGGGGCUCAACCCCGUCCGGCCGUUGAAACUGGGGGCCUUGAGUGGGCGAGAAGAAGGCGGAAUGCGUGGUGUAGCGGUGAAAUGCAUAGAUAUCACGCAGAACCCCGAUUGCGAAGGCAGCCUUCCGGCGCCCUACUGACGCUGAGGCACGAAAGUGCGGGGAUCGAACAGGAUUAGAUACCCGUGUAGC